UGGGGAAUUUUGGACAAUGGGCGAAAGCCUGAUCCAGCAAUGCCGCGUGUGUGAAGAAGGCCUUCGGGUUGUAAAGCACUUUUUGUCCGGAAAGAAAUCCUUGGCUCUAAUACAGUCGGGGGAUGACGUACCGGAAGAAUAAGCACCGGCUAACUACGUGCCAGCAGCCGCGGUAAUACGUAGGGUGCAAGCGUUAAUCGGAAUUACUGGGCGUAAAGCGUGCGCAGGCGGUUUUGCUAAGACCGAAUGUGAAAUCCCCGGGCUCAACCUGGGAACUGCAUUGGUGACUGGCAGGCUAGAAGUAUGGCAGAGGGGGGUAAAUUCCACGUGUAGCAGUGAAAUGCGUAGAGAUGUGGAGGAAUACCGAUGGCGAAGGCAGCCCCCUGGGCCAAUACUGACGCUCAUGCACGAAAAGCGUGGGGAGCAAAACAGGAUUAGAUACCCUGGUAGUCCAC
Molecule: ribosomal RNA, 455 nt
Filed under: uncultured bacterium
Lineage: Bacteria
Description: partial 16S ribosomal RNA
Rfam family: Bacterial small subunit ribosomal RNA
Source: RNAcentral